Long non-coding RNA from Engraulis encrasicolus (European anchovy), 380 nucleotides. RefSeq lists it as uncharacterized. The transcript is spliced from 4 exons. NCBI's taxonomy places the organism in Eukaryota, Metazoa, Chordata, Actinopteri, Clupeiformes, Engraulidae. The record is from RefSeq and is a predicted model, not a curated record.
GUAUUUGGACAGCAGCUAUAUAAACACAGAUGUCACCACAGCAUAGACACAGAGAGCUUCUCCAGAUUCACUUGACAACACCAAACCUUUGAAGAGGAAACAUGAGGGCUGCCGUUGUGCUGUACAUGGCUCUGCUGAUGCUUGCAUAUUUGUGCACUGCGUAUGCUGCUUGCCAUAACGGUAGAUGUGCCAAAAGGUGUGGUCGUGGGGAACAUGUAGACCGCAACUCACACUGUGGUGGAGGAAACAAAUGCUGCGUUGAGGACGGCUGGUGAUGGAAGCUGGAAGCAGGACUGGUGGUGGAAGCAUCAUCUUUUUUUCAAUCAAAUGCUUGGAACAAAACAAUGUGCUAUCUGUGUCUGAAUAAACAAUCAACAAUA